UACGUAGGGUGCGAGCGUUGUCCGGAAUUAUUGGGCGUAAAGAGCUCGUAGGCGGUCUGUCGCGUCGAUCGUGAAAACUUGGGGCUUAACCCUGAGCUUGCGGUCGAUACGGGCAUGACUGGAGUUCGGCAGGGGAGACUGGAAUUCCUGGUGUAGCGGUGAAAUGCGCAGAUAUCGGGAGGAACACCAGUGGCGAAGGCGGCUUACUGGACAGGUCCUGACACUGAGACGCGAAAGCGUGGGUAGCAAACAGG
RNAcentral lists this ribosomal RNA (254 nucleotides) under uncultured bacterium. RNAcentral describes it as "partial 16S ribosomal RNA". It matches the Rfam family "Bacterial small subunit ribosomal RNA", at positions 524 to 776 of the family's 1533-position model. The record is from RNAcentral.